This 253-nucleotide ribosomal RNA is filed under the name uncultured bacterium. RNAcentral's name for it is "partial 16S ribosomal RNA". It matches the Rfam family "Bacterial small subunit ribosomal RNA", at positions 524 to 776 of the family's 1533-position model. The record is from RNAcentral.
GACAGAGGUCCCAAGCGUUAGGCGGAAUCACUGGGCUUAAAGCGUGUGUAGGCGGAUUUGUAAGUACCUUGUGAAAUCCCACGGCUCAACCGUGGAACUGCUUGGUAUACUGCUUAUCUUGGGUCAUCUAGGGGCGAGCGGAACAAACGGUGGAGCGGUGAAAUGCGUAGAUAUCGUUUGGAACGCCAAUGGUGAAAACAGCUCGCUGGGGAUGUACCGACGCUGAGACACGAAAGCGUGGGGAUCAAACAGG